Molecule: long non-coding RNA, 348 nt
Filed under: Olea europaea (common olive)
Lineage: Eukaryota; Viridiplantae; Streptophyta; Magnoliopsida; Lamiales; Oleaceae
Description: long non-coding RNA (OEUR_LNC002002)
Source: RNAcentral
GCAAAAGCACAAUGAUAGAAAUAAGCAGAAGAGUGAACGCACGAGCAAGGGUUAUGUCCAAGACCGGUCAGUCAGGCAAAAACGAGAGGAGGUCAAGACACCCACCCCUUUGAACAUUCCACGAACAAAGUUAUUGAUGGAGAUACAGCACAUGAAGGAGCUCGAAUGGCCCAAACCAAUGCUAACCCCUUCGGGCAAGAGAAAUCAAAGUAAAUACUGCCAUUUUCAUAGAGAUCACGGGCAUGAUACCGAAGAAUGCCUACAAUUAAAGGAAGAAAUUGAGCGCCUGCUGAGACGGGGGCUAUUGGCAAAGUAUGUGAAAAACGAUAAGAGCAGGCAAAGGGUCGA